This 380-nucleotide unclassified non-coding RNA is filed under the name uncultured Rickettsiales bacterium. RNAcentral describes it as "contains 16S-23S intergenic spacer region". Lineage: Bacteria; Pseudomonadati; Pseudomonadota; Alphaproteobacteria; Rickettsiales. The record is from RNAcentral.
UCCGGCUUAACGCCGGCGGUUUCCUUAGAGUUCCCAGCAUAACCUGAUGGCAACUAAGGACGAGGGUUGCGCUCGUUGCGGGACUUAACCCAACAUCUCACGACACGAGCUGACGACAGCCAUGCAGCACCUGUGUUCGGUCCAGCCAAACUGAAGGAGAGCGUCUCUGCUCCCCGCGACCGACAUGUCAAGGCCUGGUAAGGUUCUUCGCGUUGCCUCGAAUUAAACCACAUGCUCCACCGCUUGUGCGGGUCCCCGUCAAUUCCUUUGAGUUUUAAUCUUGCGACCGUACUCCCCAGGCGGGAUGCUUAACGCGUUAGCUGCGCCACCGAGGCCUAAGGCCCCCACGGCUAGCAUCCAUCGUUUACGGCGUGGACUAC